RNAcentral lists this transfer RNA (76 nucleotides) under Cyprinella caerulea (blue shiner). RNAcentral's name for it is "tRNA-Lys". It matches the Rfam family "tRNA". From Rfam's summary of the family: Transfer RNA (tRNA) molecules are approximately 80 nucleotides in length. Their secondary structure includes four short double-helical elements and three loops (D, anti-codon, and T loops). Lineage: Eukaryota; Metazoa; Chordata; Actinopteri; Cypriniformes; Leuciscidae. The record is from RNAcentral.
CACUGGGAAGCUAAUUAUUGGACAAAGCGUUGGCCUUUUAAGCCAAAGUUUGGUGCCUACCGACCACCCCCAGUGA